This 1592-nucleotide long non-coding RNA is filed under the name Podarcis lilfordi (Lilford's wall lizard). The record is from RNAcentral. Lineage: Eukaryota; Metazoa; Chordata; Lepidosauria; Squamata; Lacertidae.
GACGUCAGCGCGCGCGAUGUUUAAAUAAGCGAGCCGCGCGGCGCGGCAGUUGGCGCGGCCAACGGCUCUGGGGCGGCUGAGGCGGGGAAGGGACGGGACGGGACGGGACGAGCGGGGCGGCGACUGUUAGUAGCGAGGGGCGCCACGAAGGAGAAGUCUUGGGAGGGUUAGGGGGCGGGAGCUCUUGAGGGGCCUGAAUAUUCAUUAGGCUCUUGUGAGGACAAAUGCUGAGGGUCUCCAGAAAGAGACGCCCGUGCGCUUGAAGGCUCUUCUGGAGACCGAAUUGGCUUGCGCUUUUUCUCCUGACGCGUUUCUAACUAGUUCCGUGAUCCGCGCACACUUUCGCCGCCUUUAAAACUUGCAGCAAUAACAGCCCUACCGCUCUCUAGGUUCAGUUUGGGUUACGAAAAAGUGGCGGUUUUCUCCAUGAGGCACUUAAGGCAUCCUCGCGAUGCCCAAGCCCUCCACGGCGCAGGCCCUUCUCCAAGGGGUCCUUCCUCGGUCUAUGGGCCCGGGGCUGGACUCGGAGGCAUUUUGCCACCUGAGGCGAAGCGCAAAAUGAGUGGUCUCUGCUCCUGCCAGAGAAAGGGGCGAGUGACGAUCAGGAACAAGGCGGGGAGUCAGGCUCUACCUUGGGGUUAACUGCCCUCCCCUUGCUUCUUGGGCGGGCUGCUCCUGUGUGGAACCCGCGUGUAUGUUAAAAGCGGGGACUGGAGGGAUAUCUUUAAAGCUGUGAUGUGCAAGAUGAACGCAAAGUACGGAAGAGAAAUUAAAAUAAUGCAAGAACCUGAGGGAGCUUUAAGGUUGAAAUCCUUUGCAGGGAGAGGAAUGCAGGCAGGAGGGCUGUUUGCUACAAAGGUGGCCGCGAGGAAGGUGCUUUUUAAUGCAAAUAAAAUUAAAACGACAGGCCCCUAUGGUCAGAAACUCUUGGGUGUAAUUUGAAUUCUUUUGAAAUACAGCUGCACCAUACAUUCCUUUUAUCCUGUUAGCUAUUGAACCUCAUACUGGAACAGUGUCGUGCCUUUUAUGUGGUCGGCAACUAGCAGUAGGUCACUUUGAGAAUAAAUUGGGGUGGGACAGAUAAUGCAUCAAAAGGCAACUCCAUAAUAACAACUUGUAGUAAAUGGGUUUUUUUGGGGGGGAGAUUAGACAGCAAUUCUGUGGGUGCAUUUUUACAUAAAGACCUACUAGUAGCUGACUCAUACGGUGAAAUGGUGGAAGUAAUAAAGCACUGUUUUAUGUAACUGCUUUGCAAUGCAUAUUUUUCACUGUCCUUUAUGCAGAACUCUCUCACUAAGUGAAAUAUUGACAAUUACAAUAUAAUUUAUGUGAAAUGAGCUACUGAAUGAGAAAUCUCUGGGACUAGCAUGUGCUCUGUCACAGCAGGAGUUUUAAUUAGGUUAUUUCUGGUCUUUCCUUUUGAUGACCUUAACCUGACACCAGUGUUGAAAUAUUUUAUUUAACAGUUGCCUAAUUAUACAAAACACCUGCAGUCCUCUGAACAAUCUAGAGUAGCAAGUUCCAGUAAUUUUAAUCAGUUUUGUGUCAGCACAGCAUUUUGAGAAGUAGGUGACCUAUAAUUAGAUAAUGCC